This 24241-nucleotide long non-coding RNA is filed under the name Solanum tuberosum (potato). RNAcentral describes it as "long non-coding RNA (STUB_LNC006131)". Lineage: Eukaryota; Viridiplantae; Streptophyta; Magnoliopsida; Solanales; Solanaceae. The record is from RNAcentral.
AAACGCUGCUGUCCAAGAACAUUUCUCCAUUCAGAAUGCUCAUCUAUGCUCCUCCGAAAUGGCCCCAAAUUCUUUAAAUUGUUGUUGAACCAGUAUUGUUGAGCUUGAGUGAAUUCAAUAAAUACACUUAACAUCUCACAAGUGCCAUGGAAUCAAUCUCCUUAAAGACUUCUUCAGCUCAAAAUGGGUCCCAACAGCAGAUCUAGGAGCUUGUAGCCUCGACCCAGCAAUCUUCGUCAAGAAUCACCCUUGGUGAUAAAUCCUCUUGAAUCUUUCCUUCUACGCAGAAUGAGCUCCGAAGAACUGAUACCACUGUGAAGAGAUCCAUCUCCAAGAGGUAUUUCCGAUUCAACUGUCCCCAAUUUGUUACCAGCAAUCGAUAUGUGAAACCGACUUCGGUGUUACCUUAUCUCUUUUAUUUGCAUCUGAUGUUCAUUUCCCGCUGACUUGUCAUUAUAAUACUUAAUUCCUUGGUUAUGUGCUGAAACCCUUGUUUUGCAUUUUCUUAAUCCGUAUAUGUGGGAUUUUUCUUUGUUCCGUCAGUAAGAUGUUCCUUGCUAGUUGUGGUAGUUCAUGUGUACUAUUAAAUUGAAUGACAUUAGUACCUGCAAAAUGAACAAUGUGGUUAGCUAAAUAAUCUGCCAAUUUGUUUCAUUCUCUGUAUGUGUGAACCACCUCCACCUCUCCUUUCUCCAUUAAUAAUUUUAUGCAUUGUAUGUCGACUGAGAUUGACCAUGGAACUUCCCAUACUCCAUCCAAUACUUUUUUAAUAAUGAAUGAAUCAAUUUCCAUGAUUAUAGGUAGCAAGUCAUUCUCUAUAAAAUACUUCAAUCCUGCCUUGAAUGUCUUCACGUCUGCAACUAUAGCAUAACAUGCUUCAAUAACAUUAGCUUCUACAAAUAUUAAGUUGCCUUCUUCAUUUCGAAUACAAAAAGUUGUAGAACUAGGCCCAGGAUUUCCUUUUACUAGUGCCAUCAGUAUUGCAUUUAUAUCUUCCUACGAGAGGAUGCACCCAAUACACCACUCUACAACAUACUAGUGGUGAAUAUUCUUCCAAUAAUUUGACUAUCAUAGGCCAUGUAUUAGGGAGAUUUUUCAGCCAUGGAUAUCUAUUUUUGGCAAAGAGAUACAGAUGCUUGUUAAUCUCCCUAAUCAUGUUAUGAGUCAACAUGAAUCCUCCAUGCUUAACGAUAUUCCUUUUCUUCCAUAACUGCCAAAUAAUGAAAAUGGGAACAACAUGUAACAUUGGUUUCAACUUGAUUCCACAGUCAGAUUACCACCAUAAUUGUAUCACAUGUCUUAGUUGAACCAUUGGGCCUUGAAUACCUACAGCCUCUGCAAAUUAUCUCCAUAAACAGUAUGUUGUGGGGCAAUGAGGAAAGAGAUGAUCACAUGUCUCCUCUGCAUUGGUGUUGCAGAUACAACACUUGACAGAGUUGACAAUUCUCAUUCUCACCAGCACCUCUCCUAUUGGAAUUCUCAUAUGCCAUAGUCUCCAUAUCAAAAAUGAGAUUUUAAAAGGCAACCCUUUCUCCCAUAUAUAUAUAUAUGAUUUUAUCAACUUUAUCAUUUUCCUUCUCAUUAACUCACAAGAACUACCAACAGAGAAUUUACCAGUACUAGUAGGCAUCCACCAUGGCUUGUCUCUUUCAUCAGAUCUUUGUAUUCUUCCCAAAUUUGAAGUGAUGUGAUUACUAACUUCUUCUGGCAAAUCCUCAUGUAGCAAGGUGUUACUCCAUCCCUCCACUAGCAUUAACGGUUGCACCUCCUCUAAUUGACCAUAAUCAUGGUUAAUAGGCAAGUAGUAGUGUAAUACCCCCAACCUGUGUCCAAUUAUCAAACCAAACACUACACUGACCAUUUCUUGGUUCCCACCAAAUUUCCUAAUCAAUGAAAUCUUUAGCAUGUAGCAUAAGUUUACAUACCUCCAUUAUACUACUUGUGGCAUGUGUAUUUUGCAAUACUUGUUCCACAUGAAGUUAGACCAUAAUGUGUUGGUUGUUCUAAAAUUCCACUAUAAUUUAGCAAAGAGCGCCUUUGAAACAUAAAAUGGAGAUCUAAAACCAAGCCCCCCUUCAUUCUUUGGUAAACAUAUAUCAUUCAAAGCAAUCCAGUGUUUAGCCCUCCCUUCCUCCUUGGAAUUCCAUAGGAAUUUUGCAAAAAUCCUAUGUAUAUCUUGUGUAACACAUUUUGGUGGGAAAAUAGCAGAUAGCAAGUAUAUAGGAAUGCUUUACAAUACAUGAUUAAUCAACACUGCUUUUCCUCCAAAUGAUAACAACCUCCCCUUCCACACCUGCAAUUUUCUUUGAAUCUUCUUGAUUAGUUCUGAGUAAUGUACCUUCUUCUUCUUAGCAUGCUCAAUGGGACAACCAAGAUAAGUCAAUGGAAAGUUUUCUCUCAUAAAUCCAGUAAUAUCCUCCACUUCCUGAAGUAUGACAUGUGCAGUCUUAUUGAACAUGUAAAAUAGACUCUUUCCUUUAUUAAUAAGUUGGCCUAAUUGAGCUUCAUACAAUUGAAGAGUUUCCAUGAUUAAUUGCAUAGAUUUUUUGUCAGCAAAUGUGAAUAUGAUGGUAUCAUCUGCAUAAGCAAGAUAAUUUAGUUGAUCACUCCAUUUGGGUAAACCAAAGCUCUUAAACUCAUUGUUGUAAAACAGAUGAUUUAGAGCCCUAGUUAAUACUUCAGCAGAUAAUAUAAAAAGUGCAGGAGAUAAAGGAUCUCUUUGUUUUACCCCUCUAGUGGAGUGAAAGAAGCCAUGAGCCUGUCCAUUAACAAGUACAGAGUACCAAUUAUUGGCUACCAACCUCCAAAUCAUAGCCAACAUCCUAUUAUCAAAGCCCAUUUUCUCCAAUACACUAAUCAGAAACUUCAGUCCACCCUAUCAUAAGCUUUAGCCAUGUCUAACUUGAUGACCACAUUAGCAGGCUUCCCUCUUUUUCUGAUCUCUGAGAUUAUUUCUUGUGCCAACAAUACAUUUUCAGUGAUAUUUCUCCCUUUAACAAAUCUUGAUUGCUUAGAAGAUAUCAGUUUUGGUAGUAUCCCUUCCAACAUGUCAUGUAUAAGUCUUGAAAUAAUUUUGUUAAAAAAAUUGCUCAAAGUAAUUGGCCUAAAAUCAUAAAAAGAUUGAAUAAUAUCUUUUUUUGGGUAAUAGGACCAAAUUUGUAUGAGUAAUAGACUUAGGUAGUGAGUAACCCAGAAAGAAAGCAUGAACCACUUCACAAUAGUUGUACCAAUAAUAUCCCAACAAGUUUGAUAAAAGUGACUUGUAAACCCAUCUGGUCCACAAGCACUCUGAGCAUUAAGCUCAAAUACAACUUUCCUGAUCUCCUCUUCUUGUGGUAUUGCAAUCAAGCUAUCAUUUUCUUCUUGUUCUACUUGAGGAUGUAUAUAUUGUAAUAAGGACAACUCCGAAUUAAUAGCUCCCCCGGUGAACUGAUCUUUAAAAACACACACAGUCUCUUCUGCAAUCUCUUUAUCACCCUCUACCCAGGAACCAUCUGCUUUCAUCAUUUUGUUAAUUUUCAGCCUCUUCCUUCUUCCCUUCACCAGACUAUGAAAGAAUCUGAUAUUUCAAUCUCCAUCCUCAAACCAUUGCAUCUUAGUUCUGCCUCCAAUACUCUUCUUCAUAAUGAAUGUAAAGCUUUAAUUCAGCUUGACCAUGCUGCAAUACUACUCUAUUUUCUGGAUAUGGACAUUCUUCAAAAAAAAAACUCUUCUUUAAUCCUCAAAAUUUCCUCCCUAAUAGCCAAUUGAUUGAAAAUGUCUCCAAAUUUCUCCUUGCUCCACUUUGACAGUGCCUGCUUAAUUCUUUUUUACUUCAACUAUCAUUCCUAGUUCACGUGUUAUGGAAUUGUCGAAAAUAAAAUUAAAAACUUAAAUAUUAUAUUAAGUGUUAUGGUUGAUUUUUCAUUUGAGUUAUCCUAAGUGUUGUGCUCAUCAUGUAAUGUUCAUCAGUUAUGAUUCAAUCGAAGUAAGUAUUAAGUGUUGUGUUCAUCAUGUAAUGUUCACCGGUAAUUUUAAUUAUAUAUGUUAUGCUAUUAGUCCAUUGUCAUGUUGAUUUUAUACUUUGAAUUGCAUAACAUAAUUUCUUUUCUUUUUAAGAUAUUACAAACUUGUAGAAAAAAUGUGGUAUGCAUGUACUAUCAUAUAUCGCACUGGGAAUCUCCUCCUUGAAUAUGUGCUUGUACAAUUCGUAGAUAUUUUAAUUUGUGAAACACAACAUCUUCAUUUAGUGUCCAAUAUGUUCUAGGGAACCUUUGGAAAUUGGGUAAAUUAGCCAGCAAAGUCAUGACUUCCCAUGAUAAUCGAAAUUCCUUGAGAUUAGGAAGGAAAAUAUCCCUAGAGAAGAUCAUGAUUGUUUUCUUUCUACAUGUAGAAGAGUUCUUUUAAAUUGGUAGUUCUUCUUAUGAUUUCCGCAGCAAGAGAAUUAGAUAUAUAUAUAGUGGCGAUCCAAUAUCAAAAUGUCUUAUCUCUGACAUUUUUCAGAUAUCUACUACCUGAUUCAACAAACAUUUCUCUUCAAAAAAUUGUUAUGGUCAGUAGAUUUCUCAAUUCUUGCAGAAAUAUAUCUCAAAUAUACAAAACUGAGGUAUUACACAAGAGAAAUCAUAUUCAAUUGAAAAUAACGUUCAAUACCUUAAGCAAUUUGAACUAUAAAACAAUUGUUUUGGAAUAUCUACUUGCAUUGAAAUAAAGGUGGAAAAUCAGGACAUCAAGACUUAUAAAAGACUUUCUAUGAUGUGGAAAAUCAGGACAUCUAACAUAAUCAGCAGCAUACUUGAGCCGAGUGAUUAAUAGAAUUCGGCUUCUAUUGUCAUCAUUUGAAAAUAUUCUUCGCAUUUAGUCACAUGCCUCAGUACUCCAUAUAUCAUCUUUGACAAUUAGAAAUCUCCUAUCCUUCAGACCUCUAUACACAAUCUCCAUUAGUUGAUCACCACUCAUUUCUUGAUUGAUUCCUGUAAUUGAAGAGACAACUUCAAGAAACAUUUGUCUCUCAUUGUAUAUUUAAUCCUCUUGCUGCGGAAACCAUAAGAAGAACUCUCAAUUUAAAAGAGCUUUUCUACAUGUAGAAGCAAAAACAAUCAUGAUUUUCUCUAGGGAUAUUUUCCUUUCUCAUCUCAAGGAAUUCUGAUUACCAUGAGAAGUCAUGACUUUGCUGGCUAAUUUACCCAAUCUCCAAGGGUUCCCUCAAACAGAUUGAACACUAAAUGAAGAUGUUAUGUUUCACAAAUUAUACUAUCUAUGAAUUGUACAAGCACAUCUGUAAGAAGGAGAUUCCCCAACGCGAUAUAUGAUAAUACAGGCAUAUCACAUUUUUCUACAAGUUUGUAAUAUCUUGAUAAAGAAGAGAUUAUGCUAUGCAAUUCAGAGGAUAAAAUCAACAUGACAAUAGACUAAUAACAUAAAUAAUUAAAAUUAUUGGUGAACAUUACAUGAUGAACACAACACUUAGUACUAACUUCGACUGAAUCAUAACUGAUGAAACACAACAUUUAGUAUAACUCAAAUGACAAUGAACAAUAAUACUUAAUAUAAUAUUUAAGUUUUAAAUUUUACUUUCGACAAUUCCAUAACACACGCACUAGGAAUUCCAUAACUUAUUUAUUUUAUGUUUUUAUGAUAUAAGUCGAAAUUGACUAAACCUCAUUUAUUUUCAUUAAAUGUAACGAUCUGUCUCAACUCCACCAAUUUCGCGUCAAUCCAAUUUCUGAGUAAAAACUUAUGACCAUUUCAGUAACUAAUACAGUGCAGUGACAAAUUAGCCAGUGGAAAACAUUAAAAGGGGUCUUUUUUAACUUUUUACCUUCAAGAAAAUCCUAGACGAAUUUCUUGACUAAUAUAAGGCUCAAAACUAGGGCUGUUCAAAAUCGAACCGAAAUCGAUAACUCAAACCAAAAAAAGUUAUUGGUUUAUCAGUAAUGGCUUAUUAGUUUAGCGGUUUUGAUAACGGUUUUGAUUUUUUUUCUUAUCUGGUUAUCGGUUCUUAACGGUUUGAGGUUUUUUCUUAACGAGUUAACCGAUAACCCGAUAGUAAAUUAAAUUAUUAAAUUUAUACCAUUUUGUAUAUAAAAACCUUGCUUAAAGUUUGGUUUCCUAAUUUUAUUUAUGGUUGUCUCAACACUUGGUUAUUCUACAAUGUAAAAGUGUUUGCUUUUGAGCAAGAUGUAACUUGUGAACUCAUGUGCAUGGUUCAUUUGGUUUGUCACCUUAUUUCUAAGUGAUAUUCAAUUUUUUUGUGUUAAAUCUUAACGGUUAAACAGAAAAUCAAACACUUAAUGAUCAAUAACUGAUAAACCAAUAAUCGAUAAGUCAAUAUCUUAAUUGUUCUGUAACAGUUUAGCAUCUCUACAAACCGAUAACCAAUAAGCCAAACCGAUAAACUUCAAAAUCGAACCGAAUCGACCGAUACGUAGACCUACUCAAAACAAUUAGAUUUUCAUCUCUUAAUCCAUAAUUUUCCUCUCUCUCAAACCCCAAGACAAAACCCUAAGAAAAAUCAAAGUAGAAAACUUCAUUCAAGAUUCUUCUUCAAGGCAAGUGUUUCUCCAAGAAUCUCAUUCUUUCCAACCUAAAUUCCUCCAUACAAUUAUGAAUCACAAAUGAAAAUCAUAAUUCUUGGUCAUAGAGUUUCAAGAAACUAAUUCAAGAAAUCUCAAGAAAGGUUUUCUUCAUUUUUCUCUUUCAAGCUAGGAUUUCAAGGAUUCUCAUCAAGUGCUUCUUCAAGAUUCUUCAAGAACAUUGUUCUUUCAGGUAUGUUAGGCUAUCAUAGUGUUGGACUAGUUCGUCCUCACGCCCUACAACUACUUUCAGAUCAAUAAAAGAGUAAUCUAGGAUUCUUUCCCUAGAUUUGAGUAUUCUUGAGAUAAGUUGAUUUUGAGUUCUUGAAUUCCUGAUUCUUUUGAAAUUCUAUUCCUAAGUAUUGAGUUUCUAUAUUUUUAUUCAGAUCAUUGAGUUGAUUUGUUCAUGUCUAUAAUUCAGCAUGAACCCUAAUUUGAGUUAUAAAUCUUGAAAAGUUUUUCAAAGCCAAAACUUGAGUUUUAAACUGAGUUUUUGAGGAAGUAAAGAUAAAUUUUGAGUGAAAGUUUAAAGGUUCUAUUUCAUAAAGACUUAAGAGGUUCUAAUGUUAUUUUAUUCAUAUAUAUACAUAUGUACAUAUGUUAAUUAUUGGAAUUGAAAGAUAAGUUCAUAAGAGCAUGUUUUCAAGAAGGUAAACAUGUCUCAUGUUUUGAAAAGUAUUUCAAGUAAUGUAAGAAGCUCAUUCUUUGUGAUGAGUGAAUUGAACACAAAGUUAUAUCAAUUAUUUUGGAAGUAUUGAGCACCGGGUUGGGUUAGAGUCUUUCAUGAUUCGGAAGUCCCAUAGAACUACAUAUCCAGCGUAGGAUAGGAUAGCAUUGAUUCUUCAUGCGACUCCUCACUACCUCUUAGAAGGCUAAUUACAUGGAUACAUAGUCACGAUAUCAUCCUAAACCCAACAAAGUAUAGGAUGGCCCUGGCAACGUGAGGUGAAACAUUUUAUCAUGGCUAGUUCAACUGUCAUUCCUAAUGCGCGUGUUAUGGAAUUGUCGAAAAUAAAGUUAAAAACUUAAAUAUUAUAUUAAGUGUUAUGGUUCAUUUUUCAUUGGAAGUAUCCUAAGUGUUGUGUUCAUCAUGUAAUGUUCAUCGAUUAUGAUUCAGUCGAAGUAAGUACUAAGUGUUGUGUUCAUCAUGUAAUGUUCAACAGUAAUUUUAAUUAUAUAUGUUAUGUUGUUAGUCCAUUGUCAUGUUGAUUUUAUCCUUUGAAUUGCAUAACAUAAUCUCUUUUUUAUCAAGAUAUUACAAACUUGUAGAAAAAACGUGGUAUGCAUGUAAUAUCAUAUAUCGCGCUGAGAAUCUCCUCCUUGCAUAUGUGUUUGUACAAUUCGUAGAUAUUUUAAUUUGUGAAACUCAACAUCUUCAUUUAGUGUCCAAUCUAUUCGAGGUGAACUCUUGGAAAUUGAGUAAAUUAGCCAGCAAAGUCAUGACUUCCCAUGAUAAACGGAAUUCCUUGAGAUUAGGAAGGAAAAUAUCCCUAGAGAAAAUCAUGAUUAUUUUCUUUCUACAUGUAGAAGAGUUCUUUUAGAUUGGGAAUUCUUCUUAUGAUUUCCGCAGCAAGAGAAUUAAAUAUAUAUAGUGGCGAUCCAAUAUCAAAAUGUCUUAUCUCUGACAUUUUUCAGAUAUCUACUACCUGAUUCAACAAACAUUUCUCUUCAAAAAAUUGUUAUGGUCGGUAGAUUUCUCAAUUCUUGCAGAAAUAUAUCACAAAUAUACAAACUGAGGUAUUACACAAGAGAAAUCAUAUUCAAUUGAAAAUACGUCCAAUACCUUAAGCAAUUUGAACUGUAAAACAAUUGUUUUGGAAUAUCUACUUGCGUUGAGAAAAGGUGGAAAAUCAAGACAUCAAGACUUAUAAAAGACUUUCUAUGAGGUGGAAAAUCAGGACAUCUGACAUAAUCAGCAACAUACUUGAGCCGAGUGAUUAAUAGAAUUCGGCUUCUAUUGUCAUCAUUUGAAAAUAUUCUUUGCAUUUAGUCCCAUGCCUCUGUACUCCAUAUAUCAUCUUUGACAAUUAGAAAUCUCCUACCCUUUAGACCUCUAUACACAAUCUCCAUUAGUUGAUCACCACUCAUUUCUUGAUUGCUUCCUGUAAUUGAAGAGACAACUUCAAGAAACAUUUGUCUCUCAUUGUAUAUCUAAUCUUCUAGCUGCGGAAAUCAUAAGAAGAACUCUCAAUCUAAAAGAGUUCUUCUACACGUAGAAGCAAAACAAUCAUGAUUUUCUCUAAGGAUAUUUUCCUUUCUAAUCCCAAGGAAUUCUGAUUACCAUGAGAAGUCAUGACUUUGCUGGCUAAUUUACCCAAUCUCCAAGGGUUCCCUCAAACAGAUUGGACACUAAAUGAAGAUGUUGUGUUUCACAAAUUAAAAUAUCUACGAAUUGUACAAACAAAUCUACAAGAAGGAGAUUCCCCAACGCGAUAUAUGAUAAUACAGGCAUAUCACAUAUUUCUACAAGUUUGUAAUAUCUUGAUAAAGAAGAGAUUAUGUUAUGCAAUUCAGAGGAUAAAAUCAACAUGACAAUAGACUAAUAACAUAACAUAUAUAGUCAAAAUUACCGGUGAACAUUACAUGAUGAACACAACACUUAGUACUGACUUCGACUGAAUCAUAACUGAUGAACACGACAUAUAGGAUAACUCAAAUGAACCAUAACACUUGAUAUAAUAUUUAAGUUUUUAAUUUUACUUUCGACAAUUCCAUAACACGCACACUAGGAAUUCCAUAACUCAUUUAUUUUAUGUUUUUAUGAUAUACACAUAUAGAUUGAUAUAAGUCGAAAUUGACUAAACCUCAUUUUUUUCAUUAAAUGUAACGAUCUAUCCCAAUGCCACCAAUUUUGCGUCAAUCCAAUUUCUGAGAAAAAAGUUAUGACCAUUUCAGUAACUAAUAUAGUGAAGUGACGAAUUAGCGAGUGAGAAACAUUAAAAGGGGUCUUUUUGUCUUUUUACCUUCAAGAAAAUUCUAAAGGAAUUUCUUGACUAAUAUAAGGCUCAAAACUAGGGUUGUUCAAAACCGAACCGAAACCGAUAACUCGAACUGAAAAAAAGUUAUUGAUUUAUUAGUACUGCGUUAUUGGUUUAUCAGUUUUGAUUCUUUUGUUAUCAAGUUAUCGGUUUUUAACGGUUUGAGUUUUUUUCUUAACGGGUUAACUGAUAAUCGGAUAGUAAAUUAAAUGAUUAAAUUUAUACCAUUUUGUAUAUAAAGUCCUUGACUUAAAGUUUGGUUUCCUACAUUUAUUUCUGGUUUUCUCAAACACUUGAUUAUUGUACAAUGUAAAAGUGUUUACUUUUGAGCAAGAUGUAACUUGUGAACUCAUGUGCAUGGUUCAUUUGGUUUGUCACCUUGUUUCUAAGUGAUUUUCAAUUUUUUGUAUCAAAUCUUAACGGUUAAAUCAUAACUGAACGGAUAAUGAUCAAUAACUGAUAAACCAAUAACCGAUAAGUCAAUAUCUUAAUGGUGCUGUAACGGUUUAGCAUCUCUAAAAACCGAUAACCAAGCCAAACCGAUAAUCUUUAAAAUCGAACCGAACCGAUCGAUACACAACCCUACCCAAAACAAUCAGAUUUUCAUCUCUUAAUCCAUCAUUUUCUUCUCUCUCAAACCCUAAGGAAAAAUCAAAGUAGAAAACUUCAUUCAAGAUUCUUCUUCAAGACAAGUCCUUCUCCAAGAAUUUCAUUCUUUCCGACCUAAAUUCCUCCAUAUAAUUAUGAAUCAAAAAUGAAAAUCAUAAUUCUUGGUCAUAGAGUUUCAAGAAACUAAUUCAAGAAAUCUCAAGAAACGUUUUCUUCAUUUUUCUCAUUCAAGCUAGGAUUUCAAGGCUUCUCAUCAAGUGCUUCUUCAAGAUUUUUUAAGUUUCUUCAAGAACAUUGUUCUUCCAAGUAUGUUAGGUUAUCAUAGUGUUGGACUAGUUCGUCCUCACCUCCUACAUCUACUUUCAGAUCAGUAAAAGAGUAAUCUAGGAUUCUUUCCCUAUAUUUGAGUAUUCUUGAGAUAAGUUGAUUUUGAGUUAUUGAAUUCCUGAUUCUUUUGAAAUUCUAUUCCUAACUAUUGAGUUUCUAUAUUUUUAUUGAGAUCCUUGAGUUGAUUUGUUCAUGUCUAUAAUUCAACAUGAACCCUAUUUUGAGUUAUAAAUCUUGAGAAGUUUUUCAAAGCCAAAACUUGAGUUUUAAACUGAGUUUUUGAGAAAUUAAAGAUAAAUUAUGAGUGAAAGUUUAAAGGUUCUAUUUCAUAAAUACUUAAGAGAUUCUCAUGUUAUUUUAUUCAUAUAUAUACAUAUACAUAUGUACCAAUGUUAAUUAUUGGACUUGAAAGAUAAGUUCAUAAGUGCAUGUUUUCAAGAAGGUAAACACGUCUCAUGUUUUGAAAAGUAUUUCAAGUAAUGUAAAAAGUCCAUUCUUUGUAAUGAGUGAAUUGAGCUCAAAGUUAUAUCAAUUAUUUUGGGAGUAUCGAGCACUGAGUUGGGUUAGAGUCUUUCAUGAUUCGGAAGUCCCAUAGAACUACGUAGCCAAGGUAGGAUAGGAUAGCAUUCAUUCUUCAUGCGACUCCUCACUGCCUCUAAGAAGGCUAAUUAGAUGGAUCCAUAGUCACGAUAUCAUCCUAAAUCCGACAAAGUAUAGGAUGGCCCUGGCAGCGUGAAGCGAAACGUUGUAUCAUUGUUAAUUCAACUGUCAUUCCUAGUGCGCAUGUUAUGGAAUUGUUGAAAAUAAAAUUAAAAACUUAAAUAUUAUAUUAAGUGUUAUGGUUCAUUUUUCAUUUGAGUUAUCCUAAGUGUUGUGUUCAUCAUGUAAUGUUCAUCGAUUAUGAUUCAGUCGAAGUAAGUACUAAGUGUUGUGUUCAUCAUGUAAUGUUCACCAGUAAUUUUAAUUAUAUAUGUUAUGUUAUUAGUCCAUUGUCAUUUUGAUUUUAUCCUUUGAAUUGCAUGACAUAAUCUCUUUUUUAUCAAGAUAUUACAAACUUGUAGAAAAAACGUGGUAUGCAUGUAUUGUCAUAUAUCGCACUGGGAAUCUCCUCCUUGUAGAUGUGCAUGUACAAUUCGUAGCUAUUUUAAUUUGUGAAACUCAACAUCUUCAUUUAGUGUCCAAUCUGUUCGAGGGAACCCUUGGAAAUUGAGUAAAUUAGCCAGCAAAGUCAUGACUUCCCAUGAUAAUCGAAAUUCCUUGAGAUUAGGAAGGAAAAUAUCCCUACAGAAAAUCAUGAUUGUUUUCUUUCUACAUGUAGAAGAGUUCUUUUUGAUUGGGAGUUCUUCUUAUGAUUUACGCAGAAAGUGAAUUAAAUAUAUAUAUAUAGUGGCGAUCCAAUAUCAAAAUGUCUUAUCUCUAACAUUUUUCAGAUAUCUACUGCUCGAUUCAACAAACAUUUUUCUAAGAAAAAUUGUUAUGGUCGGUAGAUUUCUUAAUUCUUGGAGAAAUAUAUCUCAAAUAUACAAACUGAGGUAUUACACAAGAGAAAUCAUAUUCAAUUGAAAAUACGUCCAAUACCUUAAGCAAUUUGAACUAUAAACCAAUUGUUUUGGAAUAUCUACUUACGUUGAAAUAAAGGUGAAAAAUUAGGACAUCAAGACUUAUAAAAGACUUUCUAUGAGGUGGAAAAUCAGGACAUCUGACAUAAUCAGCAGCAUACUUGAGCCGAGUGAUUAAUAGAAUUCGGCUUCUAUUGUCAUCAUUUGGAAAUAUUCUAUGCAUUUAGUCCCAUUCCUUAGUACUCCAUAUAUCAUCUUUGAAAAUUAGAAAUCUCCUACCCUUCAGACCUCUAUACACUAUCUCCAUUAGUUGAUCACCACUCAUUUCAUGAUUGCUUCCUGUAAUUGAAGAGACAACUUCAAGAAACAUUUGUCUCUCAUUGUAUAUCUAAUCCUUUUGCUGCGGAAAUCAUAAGAAGAACUUUCAAUCUAAAAGAACUAUUCUACAUGUAGAAGCAAAACAAUCAUGAUUUUCCCUAUGGAUAUUUUCCUUUCUAAUCUCAAGGAAUUUCGAUUACCAUGAGAAGUCAUGACUUUACUGGCUAAUUUACCCAAUCUCCAAGGGUUCCCUCAAACAGAUUGGACACUAAAUGAAGAUGUUGUGUUUCACAAAUUAAAAUAUCUACGAAUUGUACAAACACAUUUGCAAGGAGGUGAUUCCCCAAUGCGAUAUGUGAUAAUACAGGCAUAUCACAUUUUUCUACAAGUUUGUAAUAUCUUGAUAAAGAAGAGAUUAUGCUAUGCAAUUCAGAGGAUAAAGUCAACAUGAUAAUAGACUAAUAACAUAACAUAUAUAAUUACAAUUACUCGUGAACAUUACAUGAUUAACACAACACUUAGUACUGACUUCGACUGAAUCAUAACUGAUGAACACAACAUAUAGGAUAACUCAAAUGACAAAAUGAAUCAUAACACUUAAUAAAAUAUUUAAGUUUAUAAUUUUACUUUCGACAAUUCCAUAACACGCGCACUAGGAAUUCCAUAACUCAUUUAUUUUAUGUUUUUAUGAUAUACACAUAUAGAUUGAUAUAAGUCGAAAUUCACUAAACCUCGCUUUUUUCAUUAAAUGUAACGAUCUAUCCCAACGCCACCAAUUUUGCGUUAAUCCAAUUUCUGAGUAAAAAGUUAUGACCAUUUCAGUAACUAAUACAGUGCAGUGAUGAAUUAGCCAGUGAGAAACAUUAAAAGGGGUCUUUUUGUCUUUUUACCUUUAAGAAAAUUCUAAACUAAUUUCUUGACUAAUAUAAAGCUCAAAACUAGGGUUGUUCAAAACCGAAAUCGAUAACUCGAACCGAAAAAAAUUUAUUGAUUUAUCAGUACUCCGUUAUUGGUUUAUUGAUUUUGAUUUUUUUUGUUAUUAGGUUAUCGGUUCUUAACGGUUUAAGGUUUUUUCUUAACGGGUUAACCGAUAACCGGAUCAUAAAUUAAAUUUAUACCAUUUUGUAUAUAAAGUGUUUGACUUAAAGUUUGGUUUCCUACUUUUAUUUCUGGUUGUCUCAAACACUUGGUUAUUCUACAAUGUAAAAGUGCUUGCUUUUGAGCAAGAUGUAACUUGUGAACUCAUGUGCAUGGUUUGUCACCUUGUUUCUAUGUGAUUUUCAAUUUUUUUUUUGUCAAAUCGUAACGGUUAAAUCGAUAACCAAACCGAUAAUGAUCAAUAACUGAUAAACCAAUAAUCGAUAAGUCAAUAUCUUAAUGGUUUUGUAACGGUUUAGCAUCUCUACAAACCGAUAAUCAAUAAAUCAAAUCGAUAAACUUCAAAAUCGACCGAUACACAGUCGUAAUCAAAACAAUCAGAUUUUCGUCUCUUAAUCCAUCAUUUUCUUCUCUCUCAAACCCUAAGAUAAAAUCCUAAGGAAAAAUCAAAGUAGAAAACUUUUCAAAAUUCUUCUUCAAGAUAAGUCCUUUUCCAAGAAUUUCAUUCUUUCCAACCUAAAUUCCUCCAUACAAUUAUUAAUAACUAAUGAAAAUCAUAAUCCUUGGCCAUAGAGUUUCAAUAAACUAAUUCAAGAAAUCUCAAGAAAGGUUUUCUUCAUUUUUCUCCUUCAAGCUAGGAUUUCAAGGCUUCUCAUCAAGUGUUUCUUCAAGAUUCUUUAAGUUUCUUCAAGAACAUUUUUCUUCCAGGUAUGUUAGGCUAUCAUAGUGUUGGACUAGUUCGUCCUCACUCCCUACAUCUACUUUCAGAUCAGUAAUCUAGUAUUCUUUCCCUAUAUUUGAGUAUUCUUUAGAUAAGUUCAUUUUGAGUUCUUGAAUUCCUGAUUCUUUUGAAAUUCUAUUUCUAAGUAUUGAGUUCCUACAUUUUUAUUGAGAUCCUUAGUUGAUUUGUUCAUGUCUAUAAUUCAGCAUGAACCCUAUUUUGAGUUAUAAAUCUUGAGAAGUUUUUCAAACCCAAAACUUGAGUUUUAAACUGAGUUUUUGAGGAAGUAAAGAUAAAUUUUGAGUAAAAGUUUAAAGAUUCUAUUUCAUAAAGACUUAAUAGUUUCUAAUGUUAUUUUAUUCAUAUAUAUACAUAUACAUAUGUACCUAUGUUAAUUAUUGGACUUGAAAGAUAAGUUCAUAAGUGCAUGUUUUCAAGAAGGUAAACACGUCUCAUGUUUUGAAAAGUAUUUCAAUGUAAGAAGUCCAUUCUUUGUAAUGAGUGAAUUGAGCACAAAUUUAUAUUAAUUAUUUUGGGAGUAUCGAGCACCGAGUUGGGUUAGGGUCUUUCAUGAUUCGGAAGUCCCAUAGAACUACGUAGCCAACGUAGGAUAGGAUAGCAUUGAUUCUUCAUACGACUCCUCACUACCUCUUAGAAGGCUAAUUAGACGGAUCCAUAGUCACGAUAUCAUUAUAAAUCAGACAAAGUAUAGGAUGUCCCCGGCAACGUGAGGCAAAACGUUGUAUCAUUGCUAGUUCAACUGUCAUUCUUAUUGCGCGUGGUAUGGAAUUGUCGAAAAUAAAAUUAAAAACUUAAAUAUUAUAUUAAGUGUUAUGGUUCAUUUUUCAUUUGAGUUGUCCUAAGAGUUGUGUUCUUCAUGUAAUGUUCAUCGAUUAUGAUUCAGUCGAAGUAAGUACUAAGUGUUGUGUUCAUCAUGUAAUGUUCACCAGUAAUUUUAAUUAUAUAUGUUAUGUUAUUAGUCCAUUGUCAUUUUGAUUUUAUCCUUUGAAUUGCAUGACAUAAUCUUUUUUUUAUCAAGAUAUUACAAACUUGUAGAAAAAAACGUGGUAUGCAUGUAUUAUCAUAUAUCGCACUGGGAAUCUCCUCCUUGUAGAUGUGCAUGUACAAUUCGUAGCUAUUUUAUUUUGUGAAACUCAACAUCUUCAUUUAGUGUCCAAUCUGUUCGAGAGAACCCUUGGAAAUUGAAUAAAUUAGCCAGCAAAGUCAUGACUUCCCAUGAUAAUCGGAAUUCCUUGAGAUUAGGAAGGAAAAUAUCCCUAGAGAAAAUCAUGAUUGUUUUCUUUCUACAUGUAGAAGAGUUCUUUUAGAUUAGGAGUUCUUCUUAUGAUUUCCGCAGCAAGAGAAUUAGAUAUAUAUAGUGGCGAUCCAUUAUCAAAAUGUCUUAUCACUUACAUUUUUCAAAUAUCUACUGCUCGAUUCAACAAACAUUUCUCUUCGAAAAAUUGUUAUGGUCGGUAGAUUUCUCAAUUCUUGCAGAAAUAUAUCACAAAUAUACAAACUGAGGUAUUACACAAGAGAAAUCAUAUUCAAUUGAAAAUACGUCCAAUACCUUAAGCAAUUUGAACUAUAAAACAAUUGUUUUGGAAUAUCUACUUGCAUUGAAAUAAAGGUGGAAAAUUAGGACAUCAAGACUUAUAAAAGACUUUCUAUGAGGUGGAAAAUCAGGACAUCUGACAUAAUCAGCAGCAUACUUCAGCCGAGUGAUUAAUAGAAUUCAGCUUCUCUUGUCAUCAGUUGGAAAUAUUCUUUGCAUUUAGUCUCAUGCCUCAGUACUCCAUAUGUCAUCUUUGACAAUUAGAAAUCUCCUUCCCUUCAGACCUCUAUACACAAUCUCCAUUAGUUGAUCACCACUCAUUUCUUGAUUGAUUCCUGUAAUUGAAGAGAGAACUUCCAAAAACAUUUGUCUCUCAUUGUAUAUCUAAUCCUCUUGCUGCGGAAACCAUAAGAAGAACUCUCAAUCUAAAAGAGUUCUUCUACAUGUAGAAGCAAAACAAUCAUGAUUUUCUCUAGGGAUAUUUUCCUUUCUAAUCUCAAGGAAUUUUUAUUACCAUGAGAAGUCAUGACUUUGCUGGCUAAUUUACCCAAUCUCCAAGGAUUCCCUCAAACAGAUUGGACACUAAAUGAAGAUGUUUUAUUUCACAAAUUAAAAUAUCUACGAAUUGUACAUGUACAAGCACAUCUGCAAAGGGGAGAUUUCCCAACGCGAUGUAUCAUAAUAUAGGCAUAUCACGUUUUUCUACAAGUUUGUAAUAUCUUGAUAAAGAAGAGAUUAUGCUAUGCAAUUCAAAGGAUAAAAUCAACAUGACAAUAGACUAAUAACAUAACAUAUAUAAUUAAAAUUACUGGUGAACAUUACAUGAUGAACACAACACUUAGUACUAAUUUCGAUUGAAUCAUAACCGAUAAACAUUACAUGAUGAACACAACAUAUAGGAUAACUCAAAUGAAAAAAUGAACCAUAACACUUAAUAUAAUAUUUUAAGUUUUUAAUUUUACUUUCGACAAUUCCAUAACACGCGCACUAGGAAUUCCAUAACUCAUUUAUUUUAUGAUUUACAGAUAUAGAUUUAUAUAAGUCGAAAUUGACUUAACCUCAUUUUUUUUCAUUAAAUGUAACGAUCUAUCCCAACGCCACCAAUUUCGCGUCAAUCCAUUUUUUGAGUAAAAGUUAUGACCAUUUCAGUAACUAAUAUUGUGCAAUGACGAAUUAGCCAGUGGGAAACAUUAAAAGGGGUCUUUUUAUCUUUUUACCUUCAAGAAAAUCCUAAACGAAUUUCUUGACUAAUAUAAGCCUUAAAACUAGGGUUGCUCAAAACCAAACCGAAGCCAAUAACUCUUACCGAAAAAAAGUUAUUGGUUUAUCAGUAAUGGGUUAUUGGUUUAAAGGUUUUGAUAACGGUUUUAAUUUUUUUUGUUAUAUGUUCUAAACGGUUUGAGGUUUUUUCUUAACGGGUUAAUCGAUAACCCGAUAGUAAAUUAAAUAAUUAAAUUUAUUCCAUUUUGUAUAUAAAGUCUUUGACUUAGAGUUUGGUUUCCUACUUUUAUUUUUGGUUGUCUCAAACACUUGGUUAUUCUACAAUGUAAAAUUGUUUGUUUUUUAGCAAGAUAUAACUUGUGAACUCAUGUGCAUGGUUCAUUUGGUUUGUCACCUUGUUUCUAAGUGAUUUUCAAUUUAUUUUUUUGUGUCAAAUCUUAACGGUUAAACCGAUAACGAUCAAUAAUUGAUAAACCAAUAACCGAUAAGUCAAUAUCUUAAUGGUUCUGUAACAGUUUAGCAUCUCUACAAACCGAUAACCAAUAAGCCAAAAUCGAUAAACUUCAAAAUCGAACCGAACCGACCGAUACGCAGCCCUACUCAAAACUAUCAGAUUUUCAUCUCUUAGUCCAUCAUUAUCUUCUCUAUCAAACCCUAAGACAAAACCCUAAGGAAAAAUCAAAGUAGAAAACUUCAUUCAAGAUUCUUUUAAUCUAUUUCAAGAUUCUUCUACAAGGUAAGUCCUUCUCUAAGAAUUUCAUUCUUUCCAACUCAAAUUCCUCCAUACAAUUAAGAAUCACUAAUGAAAAUCAUAAUUCUUGGUCAUAGAGUUUCAAGAAACUAAUUCAAGAUAUCUCAAGAAAGGUUUUCUCAAUUUUUUUCCUUGAAGCUAGGGUUUCAAGGCUUCUAAUCAAGUUCUUCUUCAAGAUUCUUCAAGAACCUUGUUCUUUAAGGUAUGUAAGGCUAUCAUAGUGUUGACUAGUUCGUCUUCACGCCCUACAUCUACUUUCAUAUCAGUAAAAGAGUAAUCUAGGAUUCUUUCCCUAGAUUUGAGUAUUUUUGAGAUAAGUUGAUUUUUGUGUUCUUGAAUUUCUGAUUCUUUUGAAAUUUUAUUCCUAAGUAUUGAGUUUCUAUAUUUUUAUCAUGGAAUCGUAAUUCUCCUUAGAUUUUUUCGUUGAUUAAGAUCUUUGAGUUGAUUUGUUCAUUUCUAUAAUGAAGCAUGAACCCUAUUUUGAGUUAUAAAUCUUGACAAGUGUUUCAAAGCCAAUACUUAGUUUUAAAUUGAGUUUCUGAGGAAGUAAAAAUGAGUUUUGAGAAAAAGUUUAAAGGUUCUAGUUCAUAAAGACUUAAGAGUUUCUAAUGUUAUUUUAUUCAUAUAUAUAUAUAUAUACACAUAUGUACCUAUGUUAAUUAUUGGAUUUGAAAGAUAAGUUCAUAAGUGUAUGUUUUCAAGAAGGUAAAUAUGUCUCAUGUUUUGAAAAGUAUUUCAAGUAAUGUAAGAAGUUCAUUCUUUGUAAUGGGGAAUUGAGCACAAAGUUAUAUUAAUUAUUUUGAAAAUAGUAUCGAGCACUGAGUUGGGUUAGAGUCUUUUAUGAUUCGAAAGUCCCAUAGAACUACGUAGCUAGCAUAGGAUAGGAUAGGAUAGCACUGAUUCUUCAUGUGACUCCUCACUGCCUCUGAGAAGACUAAUUAGAUGGAUCCAUAGUCACGAUAUCAUCAUAUACCCCAGCAAAGUAUAGGAUGGCCUUGGCAACGUUUGUUAGGCUCAUGGUUAUGGUUGUCGGUUAGAGAAACUUCCCACAAAUAAAGUAUAUUAUUUAUGUUGCUUCCAUUGUAUAUUUUAUUGUAAAGCUUAAAUGGUUUUCACUUCAUGUCCAUGUAAUGAUUCAGUUGAGUUGUUUUCAAUCAUUCAGUUCAGUUAUUUGUUUACUCAGCCAUAUUACAUACUUGUACAUUCCAUGUGUUGAUGUCAUUCAACCUGCAUUCUUUUAUGAUGCAGAUAUAGGUGUUCAUGAUUAUCAACAGGCGCUUCGUUGAGAUCACUCUAUACUCCAGUUAGUUUUGGUGAGCCUCAUUGUAUUCCAGAGGACUUCACAUUACUUUCCAAUAAGUAGUUUUAGGUGUCAUGGGUCUUGUACCGACAUCAUUCCUCAAUAGUAGAGGCUUCAUGGAUAGACAGUUUUGGAGAGUCUUUCAGUUUCAGAUAUUUUAUUUAAAACUUAUGUUUCAUACUAAGUAUAUUCAACAAGGUUUUGAGAUUCAAUAAAUUAUUUUUAAACGUUUCUUUCAAUUUGAUGCUUAUGUAUGCUCAAGUUAGUCUUCUGCAUGUAGUCAGCCAGGAUGAGGGUUCGCUUGAAAACCAGCAAUAGUUCUUGAGUGUCGGUCACGUCCAGGGUAUAGGCUCGAAUCGUGACAGCUAUAGUCAGGUAAGUUGGAAUUUUAUGCUAAAAAAGAAGACCUAAAACCUCCUAUUUUAUGCAUCAUUCUUCUUAGGUUUGAGAGGGGUGCAUAAGGGCAGGUCUUAUCAAAUUUUCACCAAAUUCAACGAUAAAGGUAAAUUCAUUACUUCCCUAUCUUGUAAAUAGAUUCUUAAGCUUUAGAAUCUAGGAUAUUACUUUUGGGGGAGGAUUUUGACUUGAUUUAAUAGUGGGAAAAGUCCUGAAUUUGUUAGGAUUUGAUUAUGAUCCAGGUAUAAUUAGACCAGUUUUGAUUUAUUGUUGUGUUUUUCAUUAUUGUUAGACCAAGAACAAGUCAAUGUACUUCAAAAAGGAAAGCUCAGGUUCUUAAGAGCAUUCAGGCUUGAUUCGAGGUAGGUGAUGGUUGUAUGUAUGUAUACACAUGUCUACUACUUUAUAGUACCACUGAUAUAAUGCAUGUUGGGGAAAACAUAGGGAAACAUAUGAAAUGACAUCAUGUUAAUAAUCUCAUGCAAUAGAACUUUUAAUUUAACUUGUGGUUUCAAGUGUUAUUCUUCAUUGUGAUUGUAAUUAUGAUUGUACAUGUCGUUUGUGAUUGUUGAUUGGCUCAGGUACCACGCCGGUAUAGAAAUACUAACAGUUGGCUUGGAUAUCACGUCUGAUAUAAAUACUACCCCUGAUUGGCUCGGAUACCACGCUGAUACACUAAUAAUUUGUGUGUGGAUUCUGUGAGAGAACCGAGUAUGUGUAGUUAUGAUUCCAUGAGUGGACCGGGUAUUUGUAAUUGUGAUCAUGUGGGACAUGUUUCAAGUAUUGGUUGAUUCAGGAUAUUGUGAUUAGGAGCCUAUGUAUUUGUGAUUGUUUUAUAUGUGUUGUCAAGUGUUUAUUGUGUUGUGGCUAUCUGUUUACAUUCAUGAUUUAGACUUGGUCGUGUGAUCCUACCAAUACAAUGUGAUUGUGUAUUGAUACUACACUUUAUUUUUUCUUGUGGAGUACAUGACAUCUUCCAACGGUUGAUAUGAGACUUCAGUUAAGGGACGCUUGACUUCGAAUUCAAAGGUGAGCUACUCUUCCAGGAAGUCAUUGGUUCCUCUACAUCUUCUUGUCCAUCUUUUCAUAAAGAGACAUUUUAGAUUGUUAGGUUUAUGUUUUAGUUUCGAGAUUGCAGUUUUGACUAUUUAGAGUUUUAAUAUGAUGACUUUCAGAUUCUAGAGGUUAAAUUUCACAAUUGUUAGGAUGAUUUAGUUGAGUUUAUGAGAACUCAAUCUUUUAUUUGCGUUAGACUAUUUUUCCUAGUGUUUAUGUAGUAAGUUGUUUCUUAUAAUAGGUUUGAAGGUAGUUGAGUUGGGUUAGUAAUUGGUUCUCCCAUUGGAGGGUUAGUGUGGGUGUCACCACGACAGGUCAGGGACUUGACAUUAAGACAAAGACAUUUGAAUCUGAAUGCACAUAUGUAUGAUUAAGAUGUUAUUCUAAAUUUGAACACUGAAUAUUUAAGAUUGUUUGUUUUUCAACAUAUGAAUGUGUAUAAUUUUUUGUUUGUAAACAUGAUAAAUAUAUAAUUCAAAUAGAAAAGUAAUUCAAUAUUAUAAAUAUAAAAUAUAAUAAAAUAAAAUCAUAAUUUGAUUAAUAUAUAUAUAUAUAUAUAUAUAUAUAUUUAUAUAUAUUAUUUAUAUUCGCUAGUGAUGAUAGAGAUGGUUUGUAAUGAUAGUGGUGGUGGGGGGGGGGGUUUUGUGGUUGUUAUUUUCUUCACUUUAAUUCUUAAAAUAUUUAUUUUAAAGUAUAAUCAAAUCUAUAUUCAAACUGUUCAAAAAUAUAUUUAAGGAACUAUUUCGAAUCAUAUCCCAAAUAUAAUGUACCAUUUUUGUAAAAAUAUUUCUGAAUGUCACUUUAGUGGAGUUAGUGGGUGGUGGGGUAGGGGAUGAUGAAUUUAAUAAAAAUAAUAGUAAUAAUUUUGAAUCUGAAUUUUUGACCAAUACUUUGGAAAUUUUAUCCGUUGGUUAACGUUUUCCAAUAAAAGUUUUUUUUUCUGACAAUGUCAUAAAAUACAAAUUAAUGAUUUGUCCAUUUGGGCCCAUAUUAUGGGGCAGAUAUUUUGACAUUAUUUAUAAAACAAGGGCUCCAAGUUUAACAAAAUGUGCCAAUUGAGUAUUUUACAAGUUAUGUUUUAAAAAAUAAAACUUUUAAAAAAUUCAAUGAUUAAUAGUAUAUAUUAAAGGUCCCCAACGGCUAUUGUCUACUUUUGUAAAGGUCAAGAUGUAUAUUAUUAAAAAAAUAUUGACGUUUGGUUAUAUGUUAAAAGCAUAUUGAGGUUUAUUGUACGUAUUAAGAUUAAAAUAUUUGAAUUUGAAUGUAUAUUUGAGUAAUUAAGAUGUUUCUAGAUAUGAAUACUAAAUAACUAUGACUAUUUGUUUUUAAAAUGUUUGAAUGUGUAUAAUCUAUUUAGUUUUAAAUAUAAUAAAUUUACACUUCAAAUAAAAUAUUUAUAUUUGGUGCUAGUGGUUAAGUAAUGGUUGGUGUUAGUGGCUAGUAAUGAUGGUAGUGAUAAUUAUGAUGAUAGAGAUGGAUAAUAUUGUAGUGACUAGCCCGAUGGUGAUGGUUGGUAGUGAUGGUGGCGGCAAUUGUGAUUGUGAAGUUGAUUGAGGUUAGUAGUUAGUGGUAUUGGUGUUGGUGUUGGUGUUGGUGUUGAUGACUGAAGAAAGUGUGGUGGUUUAUGAUAAUGAUGGAGGUUGGCAACAAUUAUAAUUACAAUGACAAAGGUGGUUAAUAAUGAUGGCUAAUUAACAGUUGGUGAAGAUAUGGUGUGAUUAUUAUGAUGGCAGACGUAAUUAAUGGUGGUCAUUGGUGAUUGUGCAUAAAGUGGUGUGAAAAUUAUUCAUACAAAAAUAAUUAUUAAUGAUAGUAAAACUUUGUUAAAAAACUUAAUGAUUAAGAUCUUCUCAAACCAAAUAAGUGGUUUGAUCUUCAUAUAAACAAAUACACUUAAUGACGUAUGUUGGAUUCUAUGCAGUUUGAUGAUUGACAAAGUAAUAUGAAAUGUGUAAGUCAACCUGAUUCAUAAAUACAUCAUGUCAAGGAGUUGAAUCUAUAGCAAGAUCACUAAAUAAUAAAGACAAGUGUGCAAUAAUCAAAGGAAUGGAUGACAGUUUCGUGAUAAACUUAAGGAAACAAACAUGUGUUGAAUUGAAGAGUUGGAGUUCGAUACGACACAAAAAAAUCAAUGACUUUGAUUUGAAGAGGGAUUCUAAAGAGGCAAUGAGUUUGAUUUGAAGUAGAACUUUAAGUCAAGAGAGUUUGCGUGAAUAUGGAGUUUGAAUUGAAGAACAACUCUCUAAAAGUUGUUCUUAAAUAGAAGUGAAGUCAUUCAUAAUACUUGUGCACUUGCCGAGAAAAAAAGGCAAUUAAAAAAUUAACUUCGCAAGUGCUACCAAAAGAUUGAAGGAAUACAUUGAAGAACCAAGUCCUAUUAUAUAGUUUAUGUAUUAGGAGUUUUUCUUUGAGUGGUAAUGUUGAUGUAAUCCUAGUUUAGUGAGUUCUAAACUAAAUUAGGGGUGUUGUCUUUAAGUUGGAAUAACUUGAAGACUUGGGAACACAUACCAUGAUAGGUUUGUGUAGAAGUUCAGAAAUUAUAGUUAGUUUCUAGGAUUGCAAGAGUUUUAAUCUGAACUCAUAACUUAAAGUUUAGGAAUUAGAGUUGGUUCGUAAGAUUGCAAGAGUUGUAAUCUGAAUUAUGUUGAUGCUCAUUGAUUCAGUGAAGUUGGGGUUAAAUCUGGUAAGGUACAGGUUGUGAUUUCUUACAUCUUUUGGAGUUGGGUGUUCCCCACGAAAAAAUAUUAUGUUCUUUACUUAUUGUUCUUAAUGCUUCGUUGGAACAUAUUAGACAACUUGUUUCACUCGUAGGCUAAUCAAGAGUAAAUCACUAAGUCGUGUGAAAUAUAAGCGUAAGAUUUGAAUCAUACAGAUUCAGAUCUUUAUUAAGUGCAAAGAAAUAAGGUUUUAUACAACAACAUACCCAAUGUUGAAACCGACUUAUAUUGCUCCAUUAAAGCAACUGAUUUAGUGUAACUUGCCAUUGGCAGCUCGAAAUUGAUGGCGUAGAACUAUGAAGAAUGAACAUCACCAGUUUGAAAACGAAACGAAAAAAACAAAUAAACCUACCUACCUACCUAUGUUAAACUACACUAAUAGAAAGAAAAGAAAAAGAUGUUCUAUAUAUCACUUAAUCCAUCUCCUCAAUCUUGGGACCUGCCCCACCACCACCACCAGCCAUAGGUGCACCUCAAGCACCUUGGUACAUCUUGGCAAUAAGUGGAUUGCAUAUGCCUUCAACCUCCAUCUUAUCCUCAAACUCAUCAGCUUCUGCAAGUUGGUUGCUUUCAAGCCAACUUUCCCUCUAAUUUUUUCUUGUGUUCUUCAUCAUCUGCCUUGUACUUCUCAGCAUCCUGGACCAUCUUCUCAAUCUCUUCCUUCGACAGCCUACCUUUGUCAUUCGUAAUUGUAAUUUUUUUCCUCUGUCCGGUGGUAUUGUCCUCGGCGGAAACAUUUAAGAUGCCAUUGGCAUCAAUGUCAAAGCAGACAGUUAUCUGAAGAAUACCCCUUGGUGCAGGAUGUAUACCAGAGAGCUCAAAUUUACCCAACAAGUUGUUGUCUUUUGUCCUUGCUCUCUCUCCCUCGUAAACCUGAAUUAACUCUUCAGAUUGGUUAUCAGAAUAAGUUGAAAAUAUCUUCUUUCUCUUUGCAGGAAUGGUGGUGUUCCUUGGAAUCAGGACAGUCAUAAGUCCUCCAGCAGUUUCGAGUCCUAGCGAUAAAGGGGUGACAUCCAAAAGGCGCAAAUCUUUAACUUUCACAUUACCCUCUCCACUAAGAAUGGCUGCUUGCACAGCAGCG